UGAUCCCAUUCCGAACUCAGAAGUGAAACGAAAUAGCGCCGAUGGUAGUGUGGGGCUUCCCCAUGUGAGAGUAGGACAUCGCCAGGC
RNAcentral lists this ribosomal RNA (87 nucleotides) under Vibrio parahaemolyticus. RNAcentral also lists the same sequence under 1 other name. The record is from RNAcentral. Lineage: Bacteria; Pseudomonadati; Pseudomonadota; Gammaproteobacteria; Vibrionales; Vibrionaceae.